Molecule: ribosomal RNA, 500 nt
Filed under: uncultured bacterium
Lineage: Bacteria
Description: partial 16S ribosomal RNA
Rfam family: Bacterial small subunit ribosomal RNA
Source: RNAcentral
GACGAACGCUGGCGGCGUGCUUAACACAUGCAAGUCGAACGGGCCUGUCUUCUUUUUUGGGGGGUGGGUUGAGUGGCGAACGGGUGAGUAUCACGUGAGUAACCUGCCCUUCGGUCCUGGAUAACCGCUUGAAAGGGCGGCUAAUACGGGGUGGUCCGGUUGGUCCGCAUGGGCUGGGCGGGAUAGAUUCACUGUUUUUGGUGUUUCGGCGGGGGAUGGGCUCGCGGCCUAUCAGCUUGUUGGUGGGGUGAUGGCCUACCAAGGCGGUGACGGGUAGCCGGCCUGAGAGGGUGGGCGGCCACACUGGGACUGCGAUACGGCCCAGACUCCUGCGGGAGGCAGCAGUGGGGGGUAUUGCACAAUGGGCGGAAGCCUGAUGCAGCGACGUCGCGUGAGGGAUGGAGGCCUUCGGGUUGUGAACCUCUGUUUCCGGUGGUGAAGGCCCUGUCCGUGUGGUGGGGUUGACGGUAGCCGGGGAUGAAGCGCCGGCUAACUACGUG